GGGAGGAAUGCGCUGAAGGAGCAAGACCUCCAUGCUGUCGUCCUGUGGAACUCACCCCACUACCCUCAGAUGGGGCUACCAUCCCCAGUACAGGAAUGGGUGGCCCUGGGCCAUGAGAACUGUGAGUGGAAACUGAAGCCUGAUUCCUAUCUUCCUGUCCCUACAGAGUAGGGAAUGACUCAAGAAUGAGCCAGCAUUGAGGAUGCAUUUGUCAAGGCGAGAGAGGCACGCACGAUCACUGAGCAUGGCUUGAGAUUUCCACCUUAUAAAGGAAUGUCUCUGCCCUCCCAGGAGAUGAGUUGAGAGAUGCUCAACUUUAGAAAAUCCUCCCCUAAUUCCACAAAUGACAAACCCAGACUACUGUUUGCCAGUCAGCUCUCAGAAUAUUUAUGAGAGUACCACGCUUCUCAUGUUGCAAAGAAGGCCAAUUCAAAAUACUCAUGACUCUUCAGAUUAUUGAUGCUUGACCAGCAAGGUUACAAUGAGGUAAGAGGUCCAUGGACCCUAAGGGUGAGAGUGUUACUAACUCCCUAACAGGACUUCUCAGCUAGUAGCCUCUUCCUAAG
Molecule: long non-coding RNA, 566 nt
Filed under: Rattus norvegicus (Norway rat)
Lineage: Eukaryota; Metazoa; Chordata; Mammalia; Rodentia; Muridae
Description: long non-coding RNA NONRATT032884
Source: RNAcentral